This 917-nucleotide ribosomal RNA is filed under the name uncultured bacterium. Its description in RNAcentral is "bacterial SSU rRNA". It matches the Rfam family "Bacterial small subunit ribosomal RNA", at positions 8 to 915 of the family's 1533-position model. The record is from RNAcentral.
AGAGUUUGAUCCUGGCUCAGGAUGAACGCUAGCUACAGGCUUAACACAUGCAAGUCGAGGGGAAACGAUAUUGGAAGCUUGCUUCCGAUAGGCGUCGACCGGCGCACGGGUGAGUAACGCGUAUCCAACCUGCCCAUCACUUGGGGAUAACCUUGCGAAAGUAAGACUAAUACCCAAUGACGUCUCUAGAGGACAUCUGAAAGAGAUUAAAGAUUUAUCGGUGAUGGAUGGGGAUGCGUCUGAUUAGCUUGUUGGCGGGGUAACGGCCCACCAAGGCGACGAUCAGUAGGGGUUCUGAGAGGAAGGUCCCCCACAUUGGAACUGAGACACGGUCCAAACUCCUACGGGAGGCAGCAGUGAGGAAUAUUGGUCAAUGGACGAGAGUCUGAACCAGCCAAGUAGCGUGCAGGAUGACGGCCCUAUGGGUUGUAAACUGCUUUUAUAAGGGAAUAAAGUGAGUCUCGUGAGACUUUUUGCAUGUACCUUAUGAAUAAGGACCGGCUAAUUCCGUGCCAGCAGCCGCGGUAAUACGGAAGGUCCGGGCGUUAUCCGGAUUUAUUGGGUUUAAAGGGAGCGUAGGCCGGAGAUUAAGCGUGUUGUGAAAUGUAGAUGCUCAACAUCUGAACUGCAGCGCGAACUGGUUUCCUUGAGUACGCACAAAGUGGGCGGAAUUCGUGGUGUAGCGGUGAAAUGCUUAGAUAUCACGAAGAACUCCGAUUGCGAAGGCAGCUCACUGGAGCGCAACUGACGCUGAAGCUCGAAGGUGCGGGUAUCGAACAGGAUUAGAUACCCUGGUAGUCCGCACGGUAAACGAUGGAUGCCCGCUGUUGGUCUGAAUAGGUCAGCGGCCAAGCGAAAGCAUUAAGCAUCCCACCUGGGGAGUACGCCGGCAACGGUGAAACUCAAAGGAAUUGACG